AUUGAACGCUGGCGGCAGGCCUAACACAUGCAAGUCGAGCGGAUGAGGCGAGCUUGCGCCUGGAUUCAGCGGCGGACGGGUGAGUAAAGCCUGGGAAUCUGCCUGGUAGUGGGGUGGAACGUCCGGAGAAAGGCGCUAAUACCGCAUAAUUGCUGCGGGUGAAAGAGGGGGGUGUUCGGACCUCACGCUAUCAGAUGGGCCUAGGUCGGAUUAGCUAGUUGGUGGGGUGAAGGCCUACCAAGCCGACGAUCCGUAUCUGGUCUGAGAGGAUGAUCAGUCACACUGGAACUGAGACACGGUCCAGACUACUACGGGAGGCAGCAGAGGGGAAUAUUGGACAAUGGGCGAAAGCAUGAUCCAGCCAUGCCGCGUGUGUGGAGGAGGUCUUCGGAGUGUAAAGCCGGUCAUGUUGUGAUGAACGGCAGUAAGUUAUUACCUUGCUGGAGUGACGUUAAUAACAGAAGAAGCACCGGCUAACUACGUG
This 484-nucleotide ribosomal RNA is filed under the name uncultured bacterium. Its description in RNAcentral is "partial 16S ribosomal RNA". It matches the Rfam family "Bacterial small subunit ribosomal RNA", at positions 30 to 507 of the family's 1533-position model. The record is from RNAcentral.